This 785-nucleotide long non-coding RNA is filed under the name Chloebia gouldiae (Gouldian finch). RNAcentral describes it as "Erythrura gouldiae (Gouldian finch) lncRNA (ENSEGOG00005010635.1)". The record is from RNAcentral. Lineage: Eukaryota; Metazoa; Chordata; Aves; Passeriformes; Passeridae.
UGGGCUGAUUUCAGGGUGAUUUUUGGGGUGAUUUCGGGGUGAUUUUUGGGGUGAUUUUGGGAUGAUUUCGGGCUGAUUUUGGGCUGAUUUUGGGCUGAUUUCAGGGUGAUUCCGGGGCGAUUUCAGGGUGAUUUUGGGGCGAUUUCGGAGUGAUUUCGGGCUGAUUUUGGGGUGAUUUCGGGAUAAUUUUGGGCUGAUUUCGGGCUGAUUUUUAGGGUGAUUUCGGGGUGAUUUUUGGGGUGAUUUUGGGAUGAUUUCAGGCUGAUUUUGGGGCUAUUUUGGGAUGAUUUCGGGAUGAUUUCGGGCUGAUUUCGGGGUCCCUCAGAUGGCCACGCUGUUCUCGAUGUUGGCCGGGUCCAGGUAGGGGCAUUUUGGGGAAUUUUGGGGAUAUUUCAGGGUGAUUUUUGGGGUGAUUUCGGGCUGAUUUCAGGGUGAUUUCGGGAUGAUUUCGGGCUGAUUUCGGGCUGAUUUUGGGCUGAUUUCGGGGUGAUUUCAGGCUGAUUUCGGGGUCCCUCAGAUGGCCACGCUGUUCUCGAUGUUGGCCGGGUCCAGGUAGUGGCAUUUUGGGAUAAUUUUGGGCUGAUUUCAGGGUGAUUUUUGGGGUGAUUUCGGGCUGAUUUCAGGGUGAUUUCAGGCUGAUUUCGGGGUGAUUUCAGGGCGGUUUCGGGGUCCCUCAGAUGGCCACGCUGUUCUCGAUGUUGGCCAAGUCCAGGUAGGGGCAUUUUGGGGAUAUUUUGGGGAUAUUUCGGGGUGACUCCGGGGCGAUUUCAGGGCGAUUUCGGGCU